GGAGGACAAAAAAAGAGGAGAAAUCUUUUUUUUUUUUUUUUAAAGAUCUGUCUUCUAAAUUGCCAAUUAUUUAUAUACUGUGUCCAUUAAACAGUUAAGCUAAAAUAAUUUGGUGCUGUACACUACAUUUACAUUCUAAUAAAGUGAUUUCUGAUAUAAGACAUUGGUACCAGGGCUUUUAGCCAUACUAAAUAGCAAAACAAUCCUUGCAACACUGCUAGGUGUGUGUUUGUCACUCUGGUGCGUGUAUAAUCCGAACGAUAGCUGUAGCUGCCACUGAACGUGACUUGCACAACACUUGCCUCUGAAAUACCACCAUGGUUCUGUAUGGGCACACAGCAUCUGUGGUACCUCAGAAGUUUACUGUAGAGUCAUUUUUUGGUAAAUUUUGCAGUUUUAAAACUUAUAAAAAGCCGCCACUGUUUCACCUCUUCAUGCUCCAUCUCUAGUACUGCCUUUUGUUCUUUUCUACUGUGAAGACCUGUUCACACCGCUAAGUCCUGUUGGUGUGGAUGUGGAUUUGAGUCCUGGUCGUUCUCUUCUGAUACUCUUAAGAUAUGCAUGUUUUUUUAGGAUUAGUUUACAAUCGAGGGUGCCUAAGCAAUACUGUUUGUUAAUCCAAGUCUUUAAAAUCACAGUUUCCUAAAAUAUGUUUAUAGUUUGCUGGGGCACCCCGAUAGCGAAAUGACAAUGAGAAAUAUCUCAUGAGUUCUGGCAUAACACGGAAACAUAAUGCCAGCUCUUUUUAUCAGAACUAGUUGGUGGUCAUUGUGGCCCUUACUUGAACGUAAAUAUUAAAGACACUUGGAAUAGUUUUUUAACUCAAUUUUAAACUUGUUAAUAAUUUCUUAAUUCUAUUCUUAUAUUUCAGUUCAUCAUCAUUUACAAUAUUCCCUGUAUGUGUGUGCUGUGCUUUGUGUUAGGUGUGCGAGUGUGUCUGCAUGUUUAUAUCUAUGUAUACACAAAUAUAACUUAUAUAUAUCUUAUACAUAUCUUUAUAAAUAUAUAUAUGAGUUGUAUAAGGGUAUGUGUUUACAUAGGUUUAUUUUAAAUAUUCCUGUCUCUGGAUGGUAGGUAUGCCACUAUUUGUAGCUAAGCCAGUCACUGCCGUGAAUGAAAAUACACACACGGGCUGUCUGUGACAUGAAUUUUCUUUUCAUGGGGUGAAUGACUUCCUACUGUAGCUGUUUUAUAAUACGGAGCGCAUGCACGUGUUGGAGGAGGUUGGUGUGCAGAGUUCUGUGUCAAUAGAAGUUUGAAUCAAACGCCCUUUGCUCCUACGUGGGGCUCUUCUCUGUCUUUCUUGAGUGAUACAGACACUGUAAACUCACUCAAAUAAAACCUGAUCUGAGCACUACCUUUCAGACAUGUAUCCAUUCAUUCUCUUCUCAUUUAGCAGAGAGGAUACGCCAUUAAUACCUUCAACUCAGGAGUGUAUUUGUGCAGCAAAAUAAAGCAUGCUGUCUCAUGGCAGCUGCUCUUAUGUUUUCUGAGCAAUGGAUGCAUUUACUGUAGUAAGUAACAGAAAAUUGACUUAGUUCAUUGCCUGUACCGACUACUAAAUGAUCUUUUUUUCCCUUUGCAAGUGGCUCUUUGCAGACAAUGGAGCUGACCUAUGUAGAGAUAACUUAAUCAAUCUAACCAUCAUAUUCCGAACCACCGGCAUCUCCUUUUGUUGUUUUUCAGAUGGAUGGUAUUAACCACCCUGCUUCUUUUUACUACUUUUCAGUGCCUGGAAUGGUUUCAGUAUCCAGUAGCUGCUGCUACCUAUUGUCUUCUGAAAACUAGGAUUGCUUGCCAAGAAUUUGAUUGGAGUUGCAUUGUCAUGGCAGAAUUGCACCCGUGGAUGGCUCUUCAGAGCUCUACUUCUGCAAUUUACUGUAGCUAUAUUAAGAUGAAAAUUGUACCAUUCAGGCACUGUCCCAAGUGACAGAGGUUUCUAAUCUUUUUGCUGUCCAGACUAUUUUGAGAUGGAGGAGCACCAGAGGCAGCAUUCAGACUAUAACCUCUUCCUCUUCUGUUCCAGAAAGCAGUGAACAAUUCAAAAUAUUUGUCAGUGCUGCCAGAUCCAGACUCUUACUGUCAGGGAGACUGAAGGUCUUGUUUUAAACCUUGUUGAGUGUUCUCCUGAUUUGCUGUGAAUUACUCACUCUUCUCCUGAACUUUUGUAGAGUUUGUGCAUCUGUCUUGGGCACUGUAAUGUGUGGUCUUAAUUACAGCCCUCAGUACCUCUGCACAGAAAACCAAACUGCUGCCCAGAGCUGAGCAGUGCAAGAAGACUCUGUUGGAGACCUGCUGUGCCUGCAGGCCUCAACCUGAAUUCCCAGAACAUCUAAUGGAAAUCGGAUUGAAAUCUGAUGGAAAUGGAGUGAACGCCAAAGGAUGGCACCCACAUGACUUCAAGUUGAUGAGUACCCUGUAUUCCAGACAUGCAGUCUUCAGGUGCUGUGCUCUUAUUAGACUAGAAGUCUGGCUUGGAACAGGAGGUGGGGACUGUGAAUGUGCUUGCUGAGGUGUCUGAUGGUCACCAACAACGGUAAGUCAGGACCAGCAUCCUAUGGCGGAGCAGUCCAUUUUGUGUUAGUAACCCAACUGAAGCUUUGGGAUUAUUUCUUGGAUAUUUCUUAUUUUUUCUAUUUGCUUCUCUUAAUGGCCCAGAAGAGCAAUUUUACCCAGCAGUGCAGAGCCCCCUAAAAUACGCAUAACUAUGGACAUUUUAUUUUGAAAAUGCUGGGAAGGAGCACAGCGGUCAUUUUCUUCUCUUUAAGAGAUCUUCAUUUCAAGUAGUUAUACUCUGGUCUGCUUCUUCUGUUUCUGUUUGCCUUACUAAUAACUCUUAAUUCGGUUCUGCUGGCUUUUUUAUAGCUAGCUUUCAUACUGCUAAUGGAUUUAGUAGGAGCUGGCUCUGCUUAUGCUGCUGUUUACUGUCUCUUUGCUGUUUUUAACCAUGAAUUUCCUUUUGAAUCCAUCGCUUUGCCGAGUUCCCUCGUGCUUCCCUGUCACGGUGGCAGUGCAGGGACUGUGGUGAAGAGCUCCCAGCUCCUGCACUUGAGAAGUCAAACAGAUAGGGCUUACUUGUGGUGUGGACUUAGGUUCACAGCAUCUGCUGAGUUAUUCCAAACCAUCCGUGAAAGCGGGACGUCUUCACCUUCACAUGGGUUGGAAAAUCCCAUGCUGUGUCUGUAGCUCUGAGGGGACAGGCUGAUGUGGGAGGGAGGGGUUUCUGUAGGGCCUUUCAGCAUUGCAGUACCUUGUCAGUUGAUCAAAUCCCCAUAGAACGUGAAGUUUUGUGCUGAGAGAGCUAUUAAUCUCUGGCUUAUCCUAUAGUAAUGCAUUGCCUAGACACUAAAAUAAAUAAACUGGAUUGGUAUUCAUAUAUUGGCUGUUACUGGGAAGGGAAGUGCUGUUCUUUGUGAGGAUUGACUGGAAUAUGAGCAGGGAUUAUGCGAUGAGCACAAUGGAUUUAGCUGUCCUGCACUGCUCUGACAGCAGAUUUUUAAUUGUUAAUCCUUAUUUCUUACUUUAGAUCACAUUCAAAUGUCAAUUAGCAUCUGAAGGGAAAAAAAAAAACAAAAGCACUCAGGGCUUAUUUUAUUAGAUUUUCUUUGUUGUUGUAAUAAUGGAUUCUGGUAAUAAUUUGGCAAGAUUUGGUUACACCUGUAUGGGUCUUGUAUCAAGUAUAUGGAUUUGGUGGUAGUGUUGCUGUUUCAAGUGUUCCUAAAGCACCAGGCUGUGGCACUUGCUUCUGACUGGAUGCAUGUGGGGCUGCGGUUGUUCCUGCUGUGAAGUUGGUGUCGGAGGCAGCUGAGAGUCUGCUCACUUCACCAGGGAUCAUCACUUCAGGGCAUGGAGCCGGGUUCCGUGAGAGGCAGCAGACGCAGUGAAAAUCAGAUGUUGUCAAUCUGCUUGUAAUUUUUACAGUUUGUCUUUGAAUGCAGAUGAAACUAAUAAAUAGAGGAGGAAAUGUAGUUUGGCCCAAAGUUUUGACAAGCAGCAAAAAGCAAAUAUUUGCACAGAUGCGCUGGCUGCUGCCUUCCAUUUGGGAUCCUGGUAUGUUAGGAGCAUCUCGUGCUCAACCGAGUGGUUUGUUGGGCUUGGUCAGGGAGGUCAGUGGGAGAAAGGGAUGUGCUGGGUGGGCUGCCCUGAGCCCUGUGGCCUUCCGUCCUGAGCUGCACUCCUGCUGCGACCCACUUCACUGCAGUUGGCAUGCGUUUUACUUUUGUAAUUUUUUAAAAUGGGUUAAUAUAACUUUAUUUUAGGGCAAAUUCUACUUUUUGUAUGUGAUAUUCUGAUGUGAAAUACUUUUUAUUUUGCAGAAAAUAAUGUUUAAGCCACCAUGUACCUGUCAGCGUAACACGCCCUCUGUAUUGUUUAACACUGGAAUCUCGCCGUGAUGUGCGUGUCUCUUUACAUACUGCUUGUUGCACAUUAAAGAAGUCACUCAGCUGUGCUGCCAUCAGUGUUCAUUAAUUCAUACGGCUCCCCAAGGGAAUCACUUAUUUCUGCUAUAAAAUCAAUGAAAAGUGCUGCAGGUACCGCUGCACAGUGGAGCAUCCUCAGUGUGAAGGGCUGAGCCCCAUCCCUGGGGGCAGAGAUCACCUUCUGGUUCUGGUUUCCUGUCUCAAGAUGCUGGGAGCCGUCUGGUUUGCUAUUUUGGAAGGGCCACCCUUCAUCAUCCCUUUGCUCGUGUUUAUUCUUCACCUGAUUGAAACAAGACCCAACUGGGAUCCGUGUUUAUGUUCUAGGACUGGCUCUUCAAUAACAUCCCAGCCACGGACAAGUUUAAAAUAGCAUCACCUCCUCUCAGUGUCGGGAAGAUCUCUGUCAGCCUUGGUGGUGGGGAGGAGCUGGGCCCAGCUAUUCUUAGCAGCAACCUCUUUCCAGCCUAUAUAUGGGAGCUGGAGGCCACACUGCUCCCAGGCGCAUUUAUUGCCACGGUGCUGCAGCAGUCUGUGCUGGAGGGAUUAGGGCCAGGGCGUGGCUCAGACCUGAGCUGGCAAGCCUUCUCUGCUCAGCCUUGCUCUGGGAGAUGUUUUGCCCGCUUUUUAUUUAAUCUUUCCAGCCAUUGGCAUCUGCCACGUGGCCGCCCCACAGCAUGAGGAGGUCCCAGUCCAAGUGAAGCCAACAGCAAUAUGAGCAUGUAAAUGGGGUGCAGCAAAAAGAGAAUUUCCGUGAAGAGCCCUAUGAAAAAUUUGUGGUUGCUAAGAAAUGUUGAAAGCAGAAAACAAUAACGUGGCUGCUGCCAGAGCAAUAAGAGCGCAUCGGUGCUUUGCCUCUCAUGCGCAGCGCUUGCUUGUGACAGUAAAUUAAAUACUGCAGAGAUGAUUUUCUCCGUGGCCAUUGAUGCUUCACAUCACAGAAAUAUCAAACGGUGCUGCUGGAGGUGGUUCAUUACCCGGUGCAGAGAAGCGGAGCACUCUGCAGUUCCCCCAGCAGUGGGCAAUAGCUGUGGGCUCUGUGGUUCUCCCCAUGUCUGAUGACUGGAGGAGGGCACUACUUGUCCUCACCUCAGUGCUGGGAAUGAGGUGAGGUGGCUGUGGUGGGGCUUUGGUGUUUGGAAGUGGAGUGGGGCAGUCCUGAAAGCUGCCUUGCUGUGAUUAACCGAAGCUUGGCUGCUAAGCAGAGUGCAGUGACAAUUCCACACGAGUGAAGUUCUAUGAAUGAACUAAAGAAAACAUGUCAAAAUGCAUUUCAGCUGUUAGCAAAACAGCAUUUUUAAUGACUCUCCAAAGCCUUUGGUAAUUGAGCUGUGUGUUUGAGAGCGUGCAGUCUUGCACGUACACUGGAGAGGGAGAAGCACUGGGAACUGUGCAGGAAGGAGUUUGUGGUCUGGGGCCUCUGACCAGAAGUUUGGGAUGGACAACAUGGGAGUGAGGUCAGAUGCAGAACCCCCUGGAGCCAUCCCAUAGACCUGUAGGCACUGUGUCAUUACAGAUAUCUUCGACUGCCACAGCUGUCCCUACAGGAAGCAGAGGCAGGACUCGGGGGCCUCUUCAGCGGAGGACAUCAGCCCUAAACAGCCCUGUGCUGGGACAUUCUACAGCUGCUGCUCCAAGCAAAGCCUCUGCACUGAAUGUGGAGCACCCCUGCUUCCUACACUGCCAACAGACCCUUGCUGUGACUGCCCAUUGCAAGAGAAGAACUAGGUCCAUUUAGAGGGCUGGUAAGAAGGAGCAUUUCAAUGAAGUGGUAACCAUAUGCGCUACCCUUAAAGCAUCUGUCCUCCAAUAGCUGACAAAAUAUCCACCUUCUGAGCACAAUGGCAGUAAUGACCUAUCUUGGUGAGCUGAACAUUUAAGUAACUUCAACUGCUACAUGGGAGCUUUCUUUGGGGAAAAAAGCCAAGCAUGGAAAAAUGCUUAAAGUGAAGGAAAAAAAAAAAAACAUAAAGGAAAAAUGGAAAAUGAAAAAAAAAAAAAUUGCAAGAUUUGACUCACUCACAACCCCUAAACUCCAGCUGCAAUUCUGUGAUGUGCACGAUGACGGCAGAAUGUGUCGGUGCUGAAAGGGAAGCUCAGAGGUGGCUCAAAUUUCACAACAGUGAGCAUGACUGUGGGAGUCCCAUAUUCUUCUGACUCCUCCACUGGGAGCUGAAGAAUUCCAGCCAGGCAGUCCGCAAAGUAAACGCAUUCAGCCCCUGGGCCACAUGUUUGUUGAGUGACUUACAGCCAAGAUUUCCAGUGUUUUGUGGGGAGUAGGCAGUUUGAUUCCCUCUCUUUCACCUGCUGAAGCUGAAACAGAAGCAAGGUGAGCUGCUGAUUCAGAACAGCUGCUGGAAAUGAUAAGCACCAAGCCUAAGGCAUCCUUGAGGCAGUGCAAAUAACCCCACUUCAUUACAAAUAUCCUACAGCCUUCAAUCACUGCAAACUGAAGUAAAAAAAAAAAAAAAAGAAAUUUAAAAGUGGGAGGCUACUUUAUGCUUGCCUUCCGGUCAAACAAUCGUAACACAGGCUUAUAGAGCCAUGUUGGCUUUUCCUUGCAGGAAAAGCAAUGCACUUGCCUUUCUUCAUUUCCUACUGGCUAUCUGCAUGAAAGAGAAGAACACAUGGCCCCAGCCAGACCUCCAACAAGCAACUGCAAAGGAAGAGCACUGAGAAACUGUUGACUUAUGGCAAAAUCUGAAAGAAAGCAAAGACAAAACACUCAGUACACAGCUGAGCUGACAGCCAUGCGCGGGCAUGGCAGUCGUCCGGGUAAGAUGCAGACAACACAUCCAAGCUCAGGACUACGUGGAGCUCAUGCGCAUUUCGGGGUGUACUUUUAUCUCAUGCUUGGUAUUGCAUCAUUCUAAAAUCCUUAGCAUCAGGAGUUCGUUAUAAAUAUUUAGAAACACUGAAUGAUAACAGUGGUUGACUUGUUCACGUUGCUAACACGUUUGAUGUAAUUGUACAUUAAGCACCAGCAAUAAGUUUCCUUUUUGCCAAACAAUUAUGUCAGACAAACAUCUGGCUGUAAACAACAUGGCUUCUGCAUUAAAAUAAUACAGUUCUCAUAGACACAGUCACACACGUACACAAAAUUACAUUUCAAGGCUGUAUAUAUUGUUUAAUAACGCUACUGCCCCAAUUCACUUCAAUAGCUGCAGCAGCAGUUGUUUGUUGGGUUGGUUUUGUUCAGAAAAAUUAAGGAAAUAUUGGCAAACAAUGCACAUUACUCAGCUGUGUUACUAUUUCAUAGAGUACUGACUGGAAGACGCUAUAAGAAUGUGCAGCAGACUUUCUGGGUCACGUCAGACUAUGGAAACAUUCCUUACAAAACACUCUCCCCUUUAAAGUCAGAAUUAUUCACUCUUUGAAAAGUAUACAAACUAAAAACAGACAAUAAAAGAAGAGUAAAAAUUAGCCCAAAGCAUGGUGAUUUCCCACAGAGAAGAGCACGGCCUCCAAUGUUGUCUUUCCUUGCGGACACAAUCAGGAUCAAAGCUAGAACAAAAAGAGUUAACACUGUGUCAGAAGCAAAAUGAAAGAAUGGAAGAAAAAAAGCCUAUGGCUCUUGUGCGGCAAUCAUCAUAUUUUUUUUCCAGUGAUACAAACAUCUUUGUUUGCUAGGCACUCCAAGUUCAUGUCUCCGAUGUUAUUCCAACGUUUACUUUCCUCAGUAUCUCACUGCCAGUAUAAUUUCCUUUGAAUUAAGACUGGAAACAUUCUGGAAAGCUUCUUUGGGUAAUGCACUUUAUUUGUAUGUUGUUUCUUACCAGCUCAAUUGCAUAUUACCAAAGAAGGCGGUGGAGAUUAUUUCCUGCAGUAUGAAAAGAUUCUGUUGAAGAUGCAGGAACGUUGCCCUAGAAAGUUACUUUUUUUUUUCUUUUUUCUUUUUUCUUUUUUUUUC
Molecule: long non-coding RNA, 8328 nt
Organism: Lagopus leucura (white-tailed ptarmigan)
Lineage: Eukaryota; Metazoa; Chordata; Aves; Galliformes; Phasianidae
Exons: 3
Source: RefSeq, a predicted model, not a curated record